This 520-nucleotide ribosomal RNA is filed under the name uncultured Glomus. RNAcentral describes it as "SSU rRNA". It matches the Rfam family "Eukaryotic small subunit ribosomal RNA", at positions 569 to 1090 of the family's 1831-position model. Lineage: Eukaryota; Fungi; Glomeromycota; Glomeromycetes; Glomerales; Glomeraceae. The record is from RNAcentral.
AGCAGCCGCGGUAAUUCCAGCUCCAAUAGCGUAUAUUAAAGUUGUUGCAGUUAAAAAGCUCGUAGUUGAAUUUCGGGAUCAAUUAAUCGGUCGUGCCUCUGGUACGUACUGGUUUUAUUGGUUCCUCCCUUCUGACGAAACACGAUGUCAUUAAUUUGGUGUCGUGGAGAAUCAGGACUGUUACCUUGAAAAAAUUAGAGUGUUUAUAGCAGGCUAACGCUUGAAUACAUUAGCAUGGAAUAAUGAAAUAGGACGUUCGACCCUAUUUUGUUGGUUUCUAGGAUCGACGUAAUGACUAAUAGGGAUAGUUGGGGGCAUUAGUAUUCAAUUGUCAGAGGUGAAAUUCUUGGAUUUAUUGAAGACUAACUACUGCGAAAGCAUUUUGCCAAGGAUGUUUUCAUUAAUCAAGAACGAAAGUUAGGGGAUCGAAGACGAUCAGAUACCGUCGUAGUCUUAACCAUAAACUAUGCCGACUAGGGAUCGGAUGAUGUUAAUUUUUAAUGACUCAUUCGGCGCCUUA